GGAAGAAGAAGCUCUGGAGAAAUUAAUGAUUCGCCUUAACCUUAUCUUGAUGGAGGAAGGUUGGUCUCCCCCCACAGAUAACAAAAGUUUCCUGCGCAACAACUCUGAGCCCUGGUAACACUUCAUGAUAAGCAGGUUCGGGUGUAUUUUAAGUAUUCACUUGUGGAAUCUACGCCUCCAAAGUGUCUAAAAAUGGACAAAUCCUUUGUAGGAUACUGUAACUAAUGUAUCAAAGAAUAGGUUAAAUGUAACACAAAAUUCAGUGUCAUGUGUAUAGGAGGAUGCUAUAGUC
RNAcentral lists this unclassified non-coding RNA (292 nucleotides) under Hevea brasiliensis (rubber tree). The record is from RNAcentral. Lineage: Eukaryota; Viridiplantae; Streptophyta; Magnoliopsida; Malpighiales; Euphorbiaceae.